RNAcentral lists this ribosomal RNA (253 nucleotides) under uncultured bacterium. RNAcentral's name for it is "partial 16S ribosomal RNA". It matches the Rfam family "Bacterial small subunit ribosomal RNA", at positions 524 to 776 of the family's 1533-position model. The record is from RNAcentral.
UACGAAGGGGGCUAGCGUUGCUCGGAAUCACUGGGCGUAAAGCGCACGUAGGCGGACUCUUAAGUCGGUGGUGAAAUCCUGGAGCUCAACUCCAUAACUGCCUUCGAUACUGAGAGUCUCGAGUCCGGGAGAGGUGAGUGGAACUGCGAGUGUAGAGGUGAAAUUCGUAGAUAUUCGCAAGAACACCAGUGGCGAAGGCGGCUCACUGGCCCGGUACUGACGCUGAGGUGCGAAAGCGUGGGGAGCAAACAGG